UUCAAAGAAAAGAGUUUUCCGCUCUUACGUGCUUUGACUUCCCAUUGUUCUCAAAUUCUCAAUAUCAUCUCUCUCUCUCUCUCUAGUCUCAAGUUAUAACUUACCAAAAUCCAAAACCCAGGUCCGGUUUUCAUGAAUAAAUCCUUAUAUAUUCUUAAACCAAUCAAAAACCCACUAUCCAAACUAUAAAUGGGAGCUUGGUACCGAAGACAACAAAGAAGAGAACGAAGAGUUGGAGCACAUGGAAGGGAGUUAAAGGGACAGAGUGCUGACUUUGCUGUUUUUUUUUUUUUUUUUGUUCUCUCUGACCUGCGAUAUCAUUUUCAUUUCUCACCUGAUGGUGACUUCCAGAGGCUGCAAUAUGUAAGAUUGUGUUACCCAAUUGAUCUGGACAGCGGAAGAUCUUGGUAUCAUUGAAAAUAUGUACCAAGUAUAAGAAAGCAUCGUAGUGGUUGUAUCUCACAGUUAGAUGAAAAAAUUCUCUCCAUUCUUCAUGUAACACUGAAAAGAUGUUGGAGCCAUUGAAGUGAAUUCUUCUAGAAUUGCAGUGUUGCCAUUCAUUGCUGCCAAGUGCAAAGGUGGACUUUGGAAUGGAUGCAAAGAGAAAUGCCAAAUUGUUUGGUGAUGUGUUCAACACGGAAAAGUUAGUUAACAGAACUUUACAACCUACCUGUGUGUCCU
This is a long non-coding RNA of Quercus lobata, 681 nucleotides long. RefSeq lists it as uncharacterized. The transcript is spliced from 3 exons. The record is from RefSeq and is a predicted model, not a curated record. Lineage: Eukaryota; Viridiplantae; Streptophyta; Magnoliopsida; Fagales; Fagaceae.